Molecule: ribosomal RNA, 520 nt
Filed under: Latilactobacillus sakei
Lineage: Bacteria; Bacillati; Bacillota; Bacilli; Lactobacillales; Lactobacillaceae
Description: bacterial SSU rRNA
Rfam family: Bacterial small subunit ribosomal RNA
Source: RNAcentral
GACGAACGCUGGCGGCGUGCCUAAUACAUGCAAGUCGAACGCACUCUCGUUUAGAUUGAAGGAGCUUGCUCCUGAUUGAUAAACAUUUGAGUGAGUGGCGGACGGGUGAGUAACACGUGGGUAACCUGCCCUAAAGUGGGGGAUAACAUUUGGAAACAGAUGCUAAUACCGCAUAAAACCUAGCACCGCAUGGUGCAGGGUUGAAAGAUGGUUUCGGCUAUCACUUUAGGAUGGACCCGCGGUGCAUUAGUUAGUUGGUGAGGUAAAGGCUCACCAAGACCGUGAUGCAUAGCCGACCUGAGAGGGUAAUCGGCCACACUGGGACUGAGACACGGCCCAGACUCCUACGGGAGGCAGCAGUAGGGAAUCUUCCACAAUGGACGAAAGUCUGAUGGAGCAACGCCGCGUGAGUGAAGAAGGUUUUCGGAUCGUAAAACUCUGUUGUUGGAGAAGAAUGUAUCUGAUAGUAACUGAUCAGGUAGUGACGGUAUCCAACCAGAAAGCCACGGCUAACUACGUG